This 500-nucleotide ribosomal RNA is filed under the name uncultured bacterium. Its description in RNAcentral is "partial 16S ribosomal RNA". It matches the Rfam family "Bacterial small subunit ribosomal RNA", at positions 29 to 523 of the family's 1533-position model. The record is from RNAcentral.
AUUGAACGCUGGCGGCAUGCCUUACACAUGCAAGUCGAACGGCAGCACGGGAGCAAUCCUGGUGGCGAGUGGCGAACGGGUGAGUAAAGUAUCGGAACGUGCCCAGUCGUGGGGGAUAACGUAGCGAAAGUUACGCUAAUACCGCAUACGACCUAUGGAUGAAAGCGGGGGAUCGCAAGACCUCGCCCGAUUGGAGCGGCCGAUAUCAGAGUAGGUAGUUGGUGGGGUAAAGGCUCACCAAGCCGACGAUCUGGAGCUGGUCGGAGAGGACGACCAGCCACACUGGGACUGAGACACGGCCCAGACUCCUACGGGAGGCAGCAGUGGGGAAUUUUGGACAAUGGGCGAAAGCCUGAUCCAGCCAUGCCGCGUGCAGGAUGAAGGCCUUCGGGUUGUAAACUGCUUUUGUACGGAACGAAAAGGUUUGGCCUAAUAAGCUGAGCUCAUGACGGUACCGUAAGAAUAAGCACCGGCUAACUACGUGCCAGCCGCCGCCGUAA